AUUGAACGCUGGCGGCAGGCCUAACACAUGCAAGUCGAGCGGAUGAAGGGAGCUUGCUCCUGGAUUCAGCGGCGGACGGGUAAGUAAUGCCUAGGAAUCUGCCGGGUAGUGGGGGAUAACGUCCGGAAACGUGCGCUAAUACCGUAUACGUCCUGAGGGAGAAAGUGGGGGAUCUUCGGACCUCACGCUAUCAGAUGAGCCUAGGUCGGAUUAGCUAGUUGGUGGGGUAAAGGCGUACCAAGGCGACGAUCCGUAACUGGUCUGAGAGGAUGAUCAGUCACACUGGAACUGAGACACGGUCCAGACUCCUACGGGAGGCAGCAGUGGGGAAUAUUGGACAAUGGGCGAAAGCCUGAUCCAGCAAUGCCGCGUGUGUGGAGAAGGUCUUCGGAUUGUAAAGCACUUUUAGUUGGGAGGAAGGGGAGUAAGUUAAUACCUUGCUGUUUUGACGUUACCAACAGAAUAAGCACCGGCUAACUUCGUG
This 484-nucleotide ribosomal RNA is filed under the name uncultured bacterium. Its description in RNAcentral is "partial 16S ribosomal RNA". It matches the Rfam family "Bacterial small subunit ribosomal RNA", at positions 30 to 507 of the family's 1533-position model. The record is from RNAcentral.